This is a long non-coding RNA of Cercocebus atys (sooty mangabey), 1095 nucleotides long. RefSeq lists it as uncharacterized. Lineage: Eukaryota; Metazoa; Chordata; Mammalia; Primates; Cercopithecidae. The transcript is spliced from 2 exons. The record is from RefSeq and is a predicted model, not a curated record.
GUGCACAGGAACGGAGUGCACAGGGAACCUGGUAGGCAAGACCCCUGCCAUCGUGCAGCUUACUGUCAGGUUGACACAGAUAUUAAGAAAGAACAAAAUUUUAAAUAUAUUGAAAACGACACCUGUAAUUUGAGAAGAUGCUUGACAUCAGGAGAGGAGAAGAGUGGAGAGAGGUGGAGUGGCAAAGGAGAGUCUCCAAACCAAAAGCCUGCGUGCAGAGGCCCUAGGAGGCAAGCACUUACCGUGUUUCGGGAGUAGAAACGAAACAUAUGACAAGACUCUUAAAAACAAAUAGAAUUGGGAUGGAAUAAAGUUGGAUGAGUAAGCAGACAUCAAAUCGUUCAGAAACUUGUAGUCCAAGUUGAAGAAUUUGUUUAGUAUUGUAUAAUAAAUGCAGAGGAAGCUAUGUACAUUUAUAAUUUACAUUUUUUAAAGGCCACGUUGUAGCUCAAUCGGAUAGUUUGUCUUUUGAUGGAAUGUAGUAUACAGUAUCAUCAUGAUAUAUUCCAGGCAAAAAUAUUUAACUUGAAUCUAUCAAGCCUUUGCAUCUAACAGACUUUAUAAAAAAAUACAACUGAUAGAUGAACAAACUAAAUGAUGCCAGAGGAAGUAACUAGACAGAAGGUGAAACCAGAAGGUGAAACAUUCUGCAGGAUAACUGGCCCAUCUCUUCAACAAUUUGUCAUGAAAAAAGCAACUGCUUUAUGAAAAGAAAUUUAAGGGACAUAACAGUUUGAAUUGGAUCCUAGUUUGAACAGACUAUAAAAUGCAUUUUCAGGAACAUUAAAGAAAUAUGAAUGUAGAUGGACUGAGUAUUGGAUAAAAUAGAACUGUAUUGCCAUGGAAAAGAUCAUUAACUGAAAAGAGCAAGUCACAAAGUAGUAUGUUACAGCAUCCCAUUUUGGUUUAAAAAUGCACAUCUGUGUAUUUAGGUACAAUGAAAAAAAUAGUGGCCUUAUACCCUAAGGUGUUAGUAGUGGUAAUCUUUGGAAGUGGAAAUGUGUAUUUUCUUACUUAUGUUUGCCUAUCUUUUUCAUUGUAACUUUUGCAGCACAUAGACUACUUUCAUUAUAGUAAAAGUUUAUUUUACCACAA